AUACGGAGGGAGCAAGCGUUAUUCGGAAUCACUGGGCGUAAAGGACGCGUAGGCGGGUUUGUAAGUCAGGUGUGAAAUCCUACAGCUCAACUGUAGAACUGCACUUGAAACUACAGACCUAGAGUAUGGAAGGGGCAGAUGGAAUUAGUGGUGUAGGGGUAAAAUCCGUAGAUAUCACUAGGAAUACCGAAAGCGAAGGCGAUCUGCUGGGGCAUUACUGACGCUGAGGCGUGAAAGCGUGGGGAGCAAACAGGAUUAGAAACCCUAGUAGUCC
This 274-nucleotide ribosomal RNA is filed under the name uncultured bacterium. RNAcentral's name for it is "partial 16S ribosomal RNA". It matches the Rfam family "Bacterial small subunit ribosomal RNA", at positions 523 to 796 of the family's 1533-position model. The record is from RNAcentral.